This 424-nucleotide ribosomal RNA is filed under the name uncultured bacterium. Its description in RNAcentral is "bacterial SSU rRNA". It matches the Rfam family "Bacterial small subunit ribosomal RNA", at positions 356 to 773 of the family's 1533-position model. The record is from RNAcentral.
GGGGAAUAUUGGGCAAUGGGCGCAAGCCUGACCCAGCCACGCCGCGUGAGUGAUGAAGGCCUUCGGGUUGUAAAGCUCUGUGGGAAGAGAAGAAAAACUGAAACCUAAUACGUUUCAGGUUGACGGUAUCAUCUUAGCAAGCACCGGCUAACUCUGUGCCAGCAGCCGCGGUAAGACAGAGGGUGCAAACGUUGCUCGGAUUUACUGGGCGUAAAGCGCAUGUAGGCGGGCGAUUAAGUCGGGUGUGAAAUCCCUGGGCUCAACCUAGGAACUGCAUCCGAAACUGAUCACCUUGAGUAGUGGAGAGGAAAGCGGAAUUCCGGGUGUAGAGGUGAAAUUCGUAGAUAUCCGGAGGAACACCAGUGGCGAAGGCGGCUUUCUGGACACUAACUGACGCUGAGAUGCGAAAGCGUGGGGAGCAAAC